RNA transcript from Oncorhynchus masou masou (cherry salmon), 1290 nucleotides. It is a transcript of the gene named gamma-interferon-inducible lysosomal thiol reductase-like, with no coding region annotated. NCBI's taxonomy places the organism in Eukaryota, Metazoa, Chordata, Actinopteri, Salmoniformes, Salmonidae. The record is from RefSeq and is a predicted model, not a curated record. The transcript is spliced from 8 exons.
GUUCGAGGGUACUGUGAUAUACUUUGAAUCACUAAAUAUAUUUGAGUAGAGUUACUGACUGUGUCUAGUGUCUGUCGUCUUGUGCUGAAGGGAAGAUGAAGGGUAUUAUUCUGUUUACAUUUUUGACCAUCUGGUCAAAUGUAGAUUGCAAGUCUUGCUCAUAUUCUCCAUCGCAGUGGUGUACCUCUUUGGACUCCGCCAUCGAAUGUGGGGUUCUGAAGCAGUGCCUGGAAACCAAUGCCACCAAGCCCAACACACUGGAGCAGUCAGUUCAGGUGGAGCUGUAUUAUGAGAGCCUGUGCCCAGCAUGCCGCUACUUCCUCACCUCACAGCUCUUACCCACAUGGACCAUGCUGCAGGACGCCAUGAGUGUCACGCUGGUGCCCUAUGGAAAUGCAGAAGAAUCUUUUGAUGGGAAGAAGUAUCAGUUCACCUGCCAGCACGGCGAAGAAGAGUGUCUUGGCAACAUGAUCGAGACCUGCAUUUUGAAUGUUACAGGAAGUAACGCCUUCCAGAUAAUCUACUGCAUGGAGGCCUCCACUGAUGUGGUUAAAGCAGGCGAGAAGUGUGUGGAGCUCUAUGACCCAAACACCAAGUGGGACAGCAUCAUGACCUGUGUGAAGGGAGACCAGGGGAAUCAGCUAAUGCAUCAGAAUGCAGUGAAGACUGGUGCCCUGAAGCCAACCCACAACUAUGUGCCUUGGAUUGUCAUAAAUGGGGAGCACACAGAAGAACUUCAGGACAAAGCAAUGUCUUCACUCUUCGCUUUGAUCUGCAGCAUGUACAAGAAAUGUUUGGUGAUGGACUAGGAUCGCGAUCAACCGGUUGGUGACCACUGCACUAGAGUGUGUCUGGUGAUGGACUAGGAUCACGAUCGACAGGGGUCCAAGCCUGAAGCCUGUAGUACGGCUCUGAUGAAACGACACAGAAGUUACAGUUACCAUGAUGAGUAAAUCAUCUACGUCUCAACACUGCACUAUACUGCCAUGUGCCUCUGUGGUUGAUUGCUAAAUAUGGAUGGUAAAUGCUACCUUAAAAAUGUGUGGUAUCAAUGGGUUUUUUAAAAUCUGGUUUAACUAUCAAUAUUACACAAUUAUUCAAAAAUCAAGAAAAUGGACGUCAUGUACUGUUUCAUUGCUCAAUGACUGAGCCUUUGUGGAAUGAGCUGUGUGAAAUAAGCUCUCUGAUAGCAAUCCAUUUUUUUAUAAAGUGAUGAAGUUUCACUAGCCUUUGUAAAUGAAUAUUGGGGAUGUAAUGAAUAUGAAAUUAAAGUAAACUACUUUAAAAGGA